This 545-nucleotide ribosomal RNA is filed under the name uncultured bacterium. RNAcentral describes it as "bacterial SSU rRNA". It matches the Rfam family "Bacterial small subunit ribosomal RNA", at positions 355 to 896 of the family's 1533-position model. The record is from RNAcentral.
UGGGGAAUAUUGCACAAUGGGCGCAAGCCUGAUGCAGCGACGCCGCGUGAGGGAUGAAGGCCUUCGGGUUGUAAACCUCUUUCGUCAGGGAACAAGGCACUGCUUUUGGUGGUGUUGAGGGUACCUGGAUAAGAAGCGCCGGCUAACUACGUGCCAGCAGCCGCGGUAAUACGUAGGGCGCAAGCGUUGUCCGGAAUUAUUGGGCGUAAAGAGCUCGUAGGCGGCUGGUCGCGUCUGUCGUGAAAACUUCCGGCUCAACCGGGGGCUUGCGGUGGGUACGGGCCGGCUAGAGUGCGGUAGGGGUAACUGGAACUCCUGGUGUAGCGGUGGAAUGCGCAGAUAUCAGGAAGAACACCGAUGGCGAAGGCAGGUUACUGGGCCGUUACUGACGCUGAGGAGCGAAAGCGUGGGGAGCGAACAGGAUUAGAUACCCUGGUAGUCCACGCUGUAAACGUUGGGCACUAGGUGUGAGGCUCCUUUCCGGGGGUUUUGCGCCGUAGCUAACGCAUUAAGUGCCCCGCCUGGGGAGUACGGCCGCAAGGCUA